Molecule: long non-coding RNA, 2823 nt
Organism: Aphidius gifuensis
Lineage: Eukaryota; Metazoa; Arthropoda; Insecta; Hymenoptera; Braconidae
Exons: 3
Source: RefSeq, a predicted model, not a curated record
UGGCGUUUUGUUAAUUUUUGUCGUUGCAAUGUUGCAGUUUGUCGAUCUCUCUCUUUCUCAUCACCCCCUGGACCACUUUUUCUAUUUCUGGGCAAUCUAAAAUAAUAACCACGUUGUUAAUUAAAUAAUCAAAUAGUAUUUUCAUAUAUUUAACAAAUAAAAAAACGUAAAAGUAACAUAUCCAACAAUUGAACAAUCAUCAAUCAAAAAGAUGGCUAAACAAAAUAACGACAAAUUGAAUAAAAUGCUGAGUUGUAUUAUUACAACAAAUAACGAUGAAUGUUUUAUGACCAAAAAUAAAACUUGGCUGUCUACAAGGAAAUAUCAUUGCAGUACCACCAUCAGUUGAUGAAUAAAAAAAUGCGAGUAGAGUUUGCGCAUAAGCAGCACAACAUCAGCAGUUACUUGCCAAAUGAUAUCGUAGUCACUCCAAUCGAGAAUACCAACCAGUUAUGAGUUGGUGGUUAAAUUGUGGACCACAUUACAAUACAACCUCGGACACAUAUCACAUCAUCAUCAUACACGUAAGUUAUUUUACAAAUAAAUUGCUAUAUUUUUAUUUAUCUUUUUGAUUACAUUUUUGUUUCAUUUGCCAAAUGAAUUUUCAUUUGUUCAAUCGACACAUAUCUUAUCUCUGUUAAAAUAAUAAAACCAUCAAGUUGUUGUUGUUGCUGUUUUUAUUAUAUUUUUUUUCUUUGAUUUAAUGAUAAAUAAUUUUCUUGCUGGUGGACUUUGAGUAUUACUAUUAACUUGGUUAUUUAUUAUUAUGUAAAAUGUAUAUUUUCUUGUGAAAAUAAAAUUUAUCAAAUGUAAUUUUGAUGAUAGCCAAUGAAAUACGUGUGUGUUUGUGUUGAAUUUAGAUACGGGGGGAUUAUUGGAUAUUUGAAAUGAGACUAUUGUACAUGUCUGGCUUGAAUUGUUACGUAAGCAUAUCGUUGGGCAUAUUAUGUACCAUGUCAGAUAAGAGCCUGGUCUUAUCUCAAGCAUGCCAGUUAUUGAAGCAAUCACGCGGCGCUAAUAUUCAAGCUAAAUUUUAUUACUAUAUUUUACUAUAUUACUAAAUGUCUUUUUAUUAUUUUUUUUUAAAUUUAUUAUUUAUCGUAUUCAUCGUAAUUUUAAUUUUAAAUUCAAUUGACACUUGUUCAUGGAAACUUAUUGUCAUGCUAGUCAAUUGUUAUUGAUUUAUUUAUUUAUUUUUUUUUAUUUUUUUUUGCUGUUUCAUUAUUUAUCUCAUUUUAUUUCGAAAUACAAUUGUGCCAUAAAUUAUAUUUAAUUUUUAAAUACAAGUUUUUGUUCGAGGCAUUAGGAAAUUCGAAAUUAAAAAACACAUAACUUUUGAUUUCGAAAUAAAUUAACUGGUUUUUUAAUUGUUUAGAAUUUGUCGUGUUAUUUUUCAAGAAAACCGCAAUGAUUUUUUUUUUCAAGUAUUUUCUAUUUAAUUAUUUAUGAUGAAAAUAAAAAAAUUUUUUUUUUUUUACUCGGAUGUAUUAGUGGAUUGCAUUCAUCAAUUUAUGGAUGAGAUUUAUUCAAUAUGAAAAACAUGUCGGUAGUCAAUGUUCAACGAGCGUGUAUUCAUUUUCAAUAGCCGCCAGUUUUUUUUUUUUUUUUUUUUUUUAAAUACAAGGGGGAAAAAGACGAGACACAAAAAAAAAUAUUUAUAUAAAAAAAGAGGGAGAAUGUAAAAUCGAUAAAAUCCAAAUUCAUGUGACACGUGGAGUAUCGUUAUCUUUGUUUGUUGAUAACAACCAAGUAUUUUACGAAAUAAAAUAAUGAAAAAAAAAAUACUUGAUUUAUUUCUUUUAAAUAAUGGUAAUUUAAAAAAAAAAAAAAAUAAAAAACAUUAUAAUUAGUCUGUUGUAAAAAUUAAAAACAAUAGUUUAGCUAUUUUUCUUGCAUGUUUUUAUGUCGUUGAAAAUAAUCGUUAAAUAUAAUUUCCAUGUUUCCAUGAAAUUAACUUGAUAAAAAAAAGUGUAAUAAAACUCUCGGUAAAACCAGUCAAUCGUCUCUUACUUACGACACUAGUAUAAAAAAAAAGCUAUUAUCUACUUUUUGUAAUUAUAAAAUUCCAUUUAUAUAAUAAUAUUUAGACACUUUUUUAUUAUUAAAAAUUUAAAUAACAAGAAUCUAUAAUUAGCAUAAUUAAUUUGUACUUAAUUUGUGAUUUGUCCUAAUUUCGUCGAUCAGUUUCAAAUGGUCGAAUAAAAAAAUCUUACUAAUAGUCUCAUAGAAAAUAAUUUGAUAUUUUUAAUUUCUAUUUCAAGCAGUAGACUGUUUCAUCAUCAUAGCCAAAUAAUUUUAGUAUAUUUAUUGAAAAAUAAAAUUGAAUUUUUCCACGGUUUGCUCCAAAUUCAAUUGAGGGCAAAUGGCCCGUACAUUGGGCGCUCCCUCGACUUGCCCGUUACGUGUUUCUUCUUCUUUUUCUUCUUAUUCUUCUUCUCUCGUAUAUUAUUAUAUACCCAGCUCGAUCAAUACGUGGCUCAAGCCCAAUUGCUGACCAACAAAAUUAUCAUUUUAAAAAAUUUUCAUUAAACUGUGAUCAAUAAAUUCAUGAAAAGUCUCAUUAAUUUAUUAUUCAUAUUUCAACAUAUUUUCCAUGACAUAAAUAUUUUCCAACAAAUCGAGUUGUGGAUUACAUCACAUGUGCGUGCAUGUGUUUAAAAAAAAUAUUAUAUUAUUAUAGUAAAUCUUGUAAGCCAAGCAUUUAUAUAUAUUUAUACGAAACGGAAGUGUUACGUACAUAUUCAUACAAGUUUCUAUUUUUUAUAUUUUUUCCCAACGAAUAACCUCUUUCUUAUGACAAAAAAAAAAAAAAAAAUAAACAAA